UUUUAUAUGCAUUUUAAAAGUGUAUUUUAUUUUUAAAAAAUAACUUUGAUUUUUAAUAUACUGAUAACACAAAAAAAAUAUAAAAAAAUAUUUUUCAUAUUUUCUUGAUUAACAGCACUGAUUUGUAGAUGGGAACUGGAAUUGGGAUUGAUUGAAGGAGAACAAUAUCUAGGGAUAGUUUUGUAACUGAACAAGUACCAAUCGGUCACUGCAAUAUUUACUGAGAUUGGAGCAUGUGGGCUACGAAGUUCUGGCAUGUUCUCUGAUUAGUUUUCAAAGGAAGAAGGAUUUGAAAAUAGGAAAAAUGGAAGACAGGGAGGCAUAAGUGAAGUGAUGAUAUAAAAUAAUUUCUCUAGAGUGAGGUUACUGCCCGCCUCUCUGAAAAGGCAGACAUGGUGAUUCCAUUUGCAACAGCAUUCAGAAAAAAAGGGAGGAACACUCGUGGUCACAGAUACUAAGGGAACAUUCAUCGAUGAGAAGUGGCUGAGACCUGGAGCUGCUGUCAGUGUAUCGCCUGGAAAUCGUAUCACAUCUGGGGAUACUUAUCUGGCUAUGUUUCUUGUCUCCAAGCAUGCCAGAUUACUGUUGGUACUGAUACUGACUCGGCGGGUUCAAGCUGAAGAAUAGAAGGAUCAGUGGCGGGAAAUUUAAAGGGAACAAACUCGAGCCAUAAUUUCAAGCUGGGUCAAAAAAGACGCGGCUGUGAAAAUGGUUUGUUUUGGAGGUGAAACCAUCGUUGAUAGGAGUCGCCUAACAGAAUUAGAGUUCUACAUCAGCUGUAAGUUUAUAGUUUAUAGGAGACUAGAGGUUUGCAAGAAUUAUGACUGUGUUAAAGUUAGAAUUCUGCAGUAACAAGUCAAUGUUAGAGUUUUAUUCUUAUUAGGAGAUGGUUAUUUGAUUAAUUUCUUCACGUUGUUAGAUGAUGUUAAGAAGUCUUUGCCUAGUAUGAUUUGUAAAGGCUAUUUAAAGCCAUCUUGACUAUUCAGAAUACAUAGAAAACUUCUAGAGAUUUGUUCAAAAUUGAGAGAUCAUACUUGUGUAAACAUGAGUAGAAUAGGAACUCUUGAGGAGGAUUUGGUGGAAUUAGUGAGGAAAGUGGAAAGUAUGAUUGUUCUGAAACGAAGGGAGAUUGAUAGAAAGGCACAGAUGGCGCAAAAAAUUGAGAAUUUGAUGGUGGAGUUGACCCUUGAGAAGGAAAAGAACUUCAAGUUAAAGAUGGAAUUGGAGACUGUCAGAGAAGGAACUGUUGAGAAGGGUUUAGCGGAAUUAAAGGGGCAAGUGGAGAGCAUGAAUGUUCUGUUACGAAGGGAGGCUGAUGGAAAGGCACAGAUGGUGCAAAAAAUUGAGAAUCUGAUGGAGGAGAUGAUCCUUGAGAAGGAAAAGAACUUCAAGUUAAAGAUGAUAUUGGAGACUAUCAACUUCGUGUCUUCUGGUGCGACUACUGCUGCUUCAAUUGUUUAAGUUUUUCUUACAAUGAUAUUAAGUACUGAAUGUGUUGAGAAUGGAUAUUUCUUGAGUUUUUAGGAAAAUAAAUAUUUUUCUUACUUAAUUUUAUUUUUCUUAAGUUUUCUUA
Populus nigra (black poplar) is the source of this 1573-nucleotide RNA transcript. RefSeq lists it as uncharacterized. The transcript has 4 exons. NCBI's taxonomy places the organism in Eukaryota, Viridiplantae, Streptophyta, Magnoliopsida, Malpighiales, Salicaceae. The record is from RefSeq and is a predicted model, not a curated record.